CAAAAAUCAUUUUCAACAUUUUGACUAUUACUGACCGUCCCUAGAGCAAGUGGCAAAGGGCUUGGUGGUUGGUAUCCGAGACCCAAGUUCGAAUUCUAGUUGAUUCACAUUUCUAGCUAAGUUUAUUUCUAAAUGAAAUAAAACGAAGCGGGUAGCGUGCUACCUAUUUCUCCAAAAAAAAAAAAAAAACAUUUUGACUAUUAUCGAUCGUCCCUAGAUCAAGUGGCAAAGGGCGAAUCUUAAUUGAUUCACAUUUCUAGCUAAGUUUAUUUUCAAGUGAAAUAAACGAAGUAGGUAACGUGCUAUCUAUUUCUCAAAAAAAAAAUAUUUUGACUGUUUUGUAUAAGGCUGG
RNAcentral lists this long non-coding RNA (352 nucleotides) under Ananas comosus (pineapple). Its description in RNAcentral is "long non-coding RNA (ACOM_LNC029039)". Lineage: Eukaryota; Viridiplantae; Streptophyta; Magnoliopsida; Poales; Bromeliaceae. The record is from RNAcentral.